This 234-nucleotide ribosomal RNA is filed under the name uncultured bacterium. RNAcentral's name for it is "partial 16S ribosomal RNA". It matches the Rfam family "Bacterial small subunit ribosomal RNA", at positions 100 to 334 of the family's 1533-position model. The record is from RNAcentral.
CGGGACGGGUGAGUAAUGUCUAGGGAAACUGCCUGAUGGAGGGGAGUAACUACUGGAAACGGUAGCUAAUACCGCAUAACGUCGCAAGACCAAAGAGGGGGACCUUCGGGCCUCUUGCCAUCGGAUGUGCCCAGAUGGGAUUAGCUAGUAGGUGGGGUAACGGCUCACCUAGGCGACGAUCCCUAGCUGGUCUGAGAGGAUGACCAGCCACACUGGAACUGAGACACGGUCCAG